CCCGAGGUUGCCGGGGCGUCUGACAUUCGUCAGUUUCGGCCGAUUACGGUCAUCAACGUCAUCUUCAGGAUCCUGGCUAAAGGGUACGCCAAUGGGGUGACCCUGCUAGCUGACCAUGUCACGCACCCCAACCAGUCCGAUUUCAUUAAGGGCCGGUACAUCCUAGAUGGGCUAGUCCUUCAUGAAGUCCUCCAUGAGGUCCGCUCCAAAAACCUCAAGGCGGUCUUUCUGAAGAUUGACUUUCAUAAAGCCUACGACACAGUUAGCUGGCCCUUCCUUAGGGAGGUCCUU
Molecule: ribosomal RNA, 291 nt
Filed under: Triticum aestivum (bread wheat)
Lineage: Eukaryota; Viridiplantae; Streptophyta; Magnoliopsida; Poales; Poaceae
Description: partial small subunit ribosomal RNA
Source: RNAcentral